Molecule: long non-coding RNA, 874 nt
Organism: Bos taurus (domestic cattle)
Lineage: Eukaryota; Metazoa; Chordata; Mammalia; Artiodactyla; Bovidae
Source: Ensembl
AAGAUCCGACCAGGGAGGCCUCAGUGUCUCCUCUCCUUCGGGAGAAUGGAAGGACGCCUGCGGCCUACGCUUUCAACUGAUUAGAUGACACCCACCCACACAGCGAAGGGAAAUCUACUAUGCACGUUACUGCACAGCCGUUGGUAACAGAGGAGAUGAAGACUAAACUAGUGGUUUCUGAGGAUUCUACUGAAUCCGGUGAUUAUAAAUAAAGCUCAUAAAUUUCACAUUCAGUUCCAAAGCAGAUUUUGUCAAGUUCAGACGGAAGAAGAACAAGGACGCUAAUGAUGGGGAGCAGAAAAGUGGCACAAUCAGCCAUGCCGUGAUUGGGGCUCUCAGGCUCCAGCUGCGCCUUCUUUGGAACAUGGCUUGCAGACUCCAGAGGACACUCGAAGAGCGGCUACUUAAAACUGUACGUCAAAAUGCUUCAUGAACCACAAACAUGCACGUAGAUAGCCAUGCACAAUAAAUAAUGUUUUGUUCAGAAAAUAAUGCUGGAGCCAAAAACAAAACUUCAUCUUCGACCUAUGCCAAGAAAUGGCAUUUACAUGUGAGUCUAUUGGUAGUUCAAGAUUUUAGAGGUCUGUAGGUUGCAAAAUAAAGUUCUUUAACAUUUUUGUCAUCACUUUAUGUGCCUAGGUAUUUAUUAUUUCACAUCCCUGUUUUUCCCUCAUCUGUCUUUUAGCAAUUUUUUAUUCUUCAUUUUCUCUCUAAAACUGGUCAUAAUGCAGAAAUAAGGUAGCAUUUAAGUUAUUUUGAUUUUGUUCAUUAAAAACACAUGUAUGUGCCCCUAAAAGUUACUACUUCCUUUUUGCUGCUUAUUAUUUUGUUCAACAUACAUGAGAAAUAAAUAUCUUCCAUAGCUAUUGUACGU